This 484-nucleotide ribosomal RNA is filed under the name uncultured bacterium. RNAcentral's name for it is "partial 16S ribosomal RNA". It matches the Rfam family "Bacterial small subunit ribosomal RNA", at positions 30 to 507 of the family's 1533-position model. The record is from RNAcentral.
AUUGAACGCUGGCGGCAGGCCUAACACAUGCAAGUCGAGCGGAUGCAGAGAACUUGCUCCUGGAUUCGGCGGCGGACGGGCGGGUGAUUCCGAGGAAUAUCCCUAUCUGUGGUUGCUUACGUGAGGACACGGGCGCUCAUACGCCAUAAGUGCAGAGGGCGUACGUGUGGAAUCUGCGGAUCUUACGCCCUCGGAUGAUCCGAUGUCGGAUUAGCUAGUUGGUGGGGUAAAGGCCUACCAAGGCGACGAUCCGUAGCUGGUCUGAGAGGAUGAUCAGUCACACUGGAACUGAGACACGGUCCAGACUCCUACGGGAGGCAGCAGUGGGGAAUAUUGGACAAUGGGCGAAAGCCUGAUCCAGCCAUGCCGCGUGGGUGAAGAAGGUCUUCGGAUUGUAAAGCACUUUUAUUGGGAAAGAAGAGCAGCAAGUUAAUACCUUGCUGUUCUGACGGUACCAAAAGAAUAAGCACCGGCUAACUUCGUG